GGCAGGGAUUGCGAUUGGCCACGCUGCCUGGUCCCGAAAACCAGGGGUCCCAGAAAUGGGGCUUGAGGGUUCGAGUCCCUCCCCUGUCGCCA
RNAcentral lists this transfer RNA (92 nucleotides) under Pseudoflavonifractor phocaeensis. RNAcentral describes it as "tRNA-Ser". The record is from RNAcentral. Lineage: Bacteria; Bacillati; Bacillota; Clostridia; Eubacteriales; Oscillospiraceae.